AGACUGGUUAUUUAUCCAGGAGGGUAACAUCUUUUAUGACCAAUAGGUAUUUUUAGAAGAAAGACAGAAUGUUCCUUCAACAAAGCUUGCAGAAUCUUUUCCAGUAGAACUAUGCCUGUUUGAUGGAAAAAAAAUUUCCAGAGGAAUGUUCGUUCUGUCAUAGAUAUCAACAGAAAAUCAACAGGGAGCUUCUCCAAAGCCUUUUCCACAGACUGCCUCGGGCCUCAUCUCCUUGGCGUUUGAGGUGUGGUUUCUGAGAGUGCUUUAUUGUCCAUCCUGCUGGCUCCCUGGUGGGAAAGGCCAUCUGCAGCCUAAAGAAUUAACAAUCUCCUUGGACUGUAGCAACCAUGGAAGUUAUAUCAGCUAGCUCUGGUUGCCAUCUGAAUCAGCUGGGAGCUCUCCUGGACGUGCCGGUAAAAGAUGGUAGAAUCAAACAAUGACUUGACAGCAGGAAGACUUAAACUUCUUGAGGACAUUGAAAUCCUUGAGAAAGGAUCAAAUCCAAUUAGACUAUAAAUAUGGAUUUCAUUGGUUAAAGAAAACAUAUGCUCCAAAUUUAGAUCCUUUUCCCUGAAGAGCUGGGAAGAGGUCUGUAGUAUGAAAACCUAUGUACAUCUAGCUGUUCGACAGCUGUGUGUGUAGGAUGGCAGCCACAGAGCCAGAACAUCCUUGCAGUGACCAGCCCAUGGUACUCACACAGUAACAGGCUGCUGCACUGGAAUCUGCCAGUUUCUACAAGUCUGGUGUGGAAGAAGUAAUCCCAUGAUUUACAUUAGUCAGGCAAGCUUGCUGCCCUGCUGGAACUUUAUUGGGAAAGGACCUGACACCUGAGCAUCCUCAGGCAGUUUGUAAUUAGAAAUGCCCCAUAAAUAUGCAGCAAAACUUUGUUGAUACGUGUUUUAAUGUAUAUAUGUUUUUGGAUUUACACAUAGAAAAAUAUAUGCUGAAUGCAUUGUGUUAUAUUUCAGGCAGAUAUGCUGCAAG
This 984-nucleotide long non-coding RNA is filed under the name Taeniopygia guttata (zebra finch). RNAcentral describes it as "lncRNA (ENSTGUG00000023983.1)". Lineage: Eukaryota; Metazoa; Chordata; Aves; Passeriformes; Estrildidae. The record is from RNAcentral.